UACGUAGGGACCAAGCGUUGUUCGGAUUUACUGGGCGUAAAGGGCGCGUAGGCGGCAAUUCAAGUCAUCUGUGAAAUCUUCGGGCUUAACUCGGAACGGUCAGAUGAUACUGUUUUGCUAGAGCGCAGAAGGGGCAAUCGGAAUUCUUGGUGUAGCGGUGAAAUGCGCAGAUAUCAGGAGGAACACCGGUGGCGAAGGCGGGUCUCUGGGCCGUAACUGACGCUGAGGAGCGAAAGCAUGGGGAGCGAACAGG
This 253-nucleotide ribosomal RNA is filed under the name uncultured bacterium. RNAcentral describes it as "partial 16S ribosomal RNA". It matches the Rfam family "Bacterial small subunit ribosomal RNA", at positions 524 to 776 of the family's 1533-position model. The record is from RNAcentral.